Molecule: ribosomal RNA, 451 nt
Filed under: uncultured organism
Description: partial 16S ribosomal RNA
Rfam family: Bacterial small subunit ribosomal RNA
Source: RNAcentral
CACUCCUACGGGAGGCAGCAGUGGGGAAUAUUGGACAAUGGGCGAAAGCCUGAUCCAGCAAUGCCGCGUGAGUGAUGAAGGCCUUAGGGUUGUAAAGCUCUUUUACCCGGGAUGAUAAUGACAGUACCGGGAGAAUAAGCCCCGGCUAACUCCGUGCCAGCAGCCGCGGUAAUACGGAGGGGGCUAGCGUUGUUCGGAAUUACUGGGCGUAAAGCGCGCGUAGGCGGCUUUGUAAGUUAGAGGUGAAAGCCCGGAGCUCAACUUCGGAAUUGCCUUUAAGACUGCAUCGCUAGAAUCGUGGAGAGGUGAGUGGAAUUCCGAGUGUAGAGGUGAAAUUCGUAGAUAUUCGGAAGAACACCAGUGGCGAAGGCGACUCACUGGACACGUAUUGACGCUGAGGUGCGAAAGCGUGGGGAGCAAACAGGAUUAGAAACCCGAGUAGUCCCAUGAU